RNAcentral lists this ribosomal RNA (750 nucleotides) under uncultured bacterium. RNAcentral's name for it is "bacterial SSU rRNA". It matches the Rfam family "Bacterial small subunit ribosomal RNA", at positions 636 to 1386 of the family's 1533-position model. The record is from RNAcentral.
UNUGACUUGAGUGCAGAAGGGGAGAGUGGAAUUCCAUGUGUAGCGGUGAAAUGCGUAGAUAUAUGGAGGAACACCAGUGGCGAAAGCGGCUCUCUGNUCUGUCACUGACGCUGAGGCUCGAAAGCGUGGGUAGCGAACAGGAUUAGAUACCCUGGUAGUNCACGCCGUAAACGAUGAGUGCUAGGUGUUAGGCCCUUUCCGGGGCUUAGUGCCGGAGCUAACGCAAUAAGCACUCCGCCUGGGGAGUACGACCGCAAGGUUGAAACUCAAAGGAAUUGACGGGGGCCCGCACAAGCGGUGGAGCAUGUGGUUUAAUUCGAAGCAACGCGAAGAACCUUACCAGGUCUUGACAUCCCGAUGCUAUUCUUAGAGAUAGGAAGUUACUUCGGUACAUCGGAGACAGGUGGUGCAUGGUUGUCGUCAGCUCGUGUCGUGAGAUGUUGGGUUAAGUCCCGCAACGAGCGCAACCCUUAUUGUUAGUUGCCAUCAUUAAGUUGGGCACUCUAGCGAGACUGCCGGUAAUAAACCGGAGGAAGGUGGGGAUGACGUCAAAUCAUCAUGCCCCUUAUGACCUGGGCUACACACGUGCUACAAUGGUCGGUACAACGAGUUGCGAGCCGGUGACGGCAAGCUAAUCUCUGAAAGCCGAUCUCAGUUCGGAUUGGAGGCUGCAACUCGCCUCCAUGAAGUCGGAAUCGCUAGUAAUCGCGGAUCAGCACGCCGCGGUGAAUACGUUCCCGGGCCUUGUNC